Molecule: ribosomal RNA, 519 nt
Filed under: uncultured bacterium
Lineage: Bacteria
Description: bacterial SSU rRNA
Rfam family: Bacterial small subunit ribosomal RNA
Source: RNAcentral
GUUUGAUCCUGGCUCAGAGCGAACGCUAGCGGCGGGCCUAACACAUGCAAGUCGAGCGGAGAACUUCGGUUCUUAGCGGCGGACGGGGUGAGUAACACGUAGGUGACGUAUCCUUGGGUGGGGAACAACCGUGGGAAACCAUGGCUAAUACCGCAUAUGUCUUUCGAGAUGAAAGCAGCAAUGCGCCCGGGGAGCGGCCUGCGGCCGAUUAAUUAUUCCUAGUUGGUGAGGUAAUGGCUCACCAAGGGUACGAUCGGUAGCUGGUCUGAGAGGAUGAUCAGCCACACUGGAACUGAGACACGGUCCAGACUCCUACGGGAGGCAGCAGUGGGGAAUAUUGCGCAAUGGGCGAAAGCCUGACGCAGCCACGCCGCGUGAAGGAUGACGGUCUUCGGAUUGUAAACUUCUGUCGGGAGGGAAGAAGGGGCAACCCUGACGGUACCUCGCAAGAAAGCACCGGCUAACUCUGUGCCAGCAGCCGCGGUAAUACAGAGGGUGCAAGCGUUGCUCGGAAUUACG